AUCCGCCUACGGGACGCAGCAGUGGGGAAUAUUGGGCAAUGGGCGCAAGCCUGACCCAGCAACGCCGCGUGAAGGAAGAAGGCUUUCGGGUUGUAAACUUCUUUUCUGGGGGACGAACAAAUGACGGUACCCCAGGAAUAAGCCACGGCUAACUACGUGCCAGCAGCCGCGGUAAUACGUAGGGAGCAAGCGUUAUCCGGAUUUACUGGGUGUAAAGGGCGUGUAGGCGGGCUUGUAAGUCAGAAGUGAAAUCUGGGGGCUUAACUCCCAAACUGCUUUUGAAACUGAGGGUCUUGAGUGAUGGG
Molecule: ribosomal RNA, 305 nt
Filed under: uncultured bacterium
Lineage: Bacteria
Description: bacterial SSU rRNA
Rfam family: Bacterial small subunit ribosomal RNA
Source: RNAcentral